UUUCCGUAGGUGAACCUGCGGAAGGAUCAUUAUUGUAUAACCGAGGUGCGAGGGCUGUCGCUGACCCGAAAGGUCGUGCACGUCCGAGUGCCCUCACACACAUCCAUCUCACCCCUAUGUGCACCACCGCGUGGGUCCCCCUUUGGCUUGUUCGGAGGGGGGCUUACGUUUUCACACAAACUUUGUAUGCAGUGUAGAAUGUAUUUUUUGUUUUUGCGAUCACGCAAUCAAUACGACUUUCAACAACGGAUCUCUUGGCUCUC
RNAcentral lists this unclassified non-coding RNA (263 nucleotides) under plant metagenome. Its description in RNAcentral is "partial contains small subunit ribosomal RNA, internal transcribed spacer 1, and 5.8S ribosomal RNA". The record is from RNAcentral.